UACGAUUUUGUUUUGAUUGAUUAU
This 24-nucleotide non-coding RNA is filed under the name Arabidopsis thaliana (thale cress). The record is from RNAcentral. Lineage: Eukaryota; Viridiplantae; Streptophyta; Magnoliopsida; Brassicales; Brassicaceae.